Molecule: ribosomal RNA, 207 nt
Filed under: uncultured Pseudomonadota bacterium
Lineage: Bacteria; Pseudomonadati; Pseudomonadota
Description: uncultured proteobacterium partial 16S ribosomal RNA
Rfam family: Bacterial small subunit ribosomal RNA
Source: RNAcentral
UGCGUAGGCGGUUAGACAAGUCAGAUGUGAAAGCCCCGGGCUCAACCUGGGAACUGCGUUUGAUACUGUUUUACUAGAAUUCGGUAGAGGUGAGUGGAAUUUCCAGUGUAGAGGUGAAAUUCGUAGAUAUUGGAAAGAACACCGGUGGCGAAGGCGGCUCACUGGACCGACAUUGACGCUGAGGCACGAAAGCGUGGGGAGCAAACA